ACAGAGGCGGCAAGCGUUGUUCGGAAUUAUUGGGCGUAAAGAGCAUGUAGGCGGCUAUGUAAGUCGGUAGUGAAAGCCUUCCGCUUAACGGAAGAAUGGCGGUUGAAACUGCAUGGCUUGAGUGCGGGAGGGGAGAGUGGAAUUUCCGGUGGAGCGGUGAAAUGCGUAGAUAUCAGAGGGAACAUCGGCGGCGAAAGCGACUCUCUGGCCCGUAACUGACGCUGAGGUGCGAAAGCUAGGGGAGCAAACGG
RNAcentral lists this ribosomal RNA (251 nucleotides) under uncultured prokaryote. RNAcentral's name for it is "partial 16S ribosomal RNA". It matches the Rfam family "Bacterial small subunit ribosomal RNA", at positions 525 to 775 of the family's 1533-position model. The record is from RNAcentral.